CCUCUUGUUUUUCAAAACUGUUGAAUAAAAAAUUAUUUUAAACAGAUAAAUUGAAAUGGAUUGCUUGUCGAUUAACUGGAAGAAAGCGGUAAACGAAACGCACACAAACAAGAAAGUUGUGUUUCUUUUUGAUGUAUUAUACAUACCCACUAUUUUGUACUUGGAAAGCACAACGAAAGCUGACUCGAAAUCAUGCUGUUUGGGCCCCCUCUUGUACAAUGUACAUAGGAAGUGGACUCCUUGAGAAGGUGAAAGGUCUGCUUUACAUCAUUUUCAAUGGAUGUACAA
Molecule: long non-coding RNA, 288 nt
Organism: Mytilus trossulus (common blue mussel)
Lineage: Eukaryota; Metazoa; Mollusca; Bivalvia; Mytilida; Mytilidae
Exons: 3
Source: RefSeq, a predicted model, not a curated record